RNAcentral lists this ribosomal RNA (163 nucleotides) under Nephroia orbiculata. Its description in RNAcentral is "Cocculus orbiculatus 5.8S ribosomal RNA". The stretch from base 1 to 143 matches the Rfam family "5.8S ribosomal RNA". From Rfam's summary of the family: 5.8S ribosomal RNA (5.8S rRNA) is a component of the large subunit of the eukaryotic ribosome. It is transcribed by RNA polymerase I as part of the 45S precursor that also contains 18S and 28S rRNA. The record is from RNAcentral. Lineage: Eukaryota; Viridiplantae; Streptophyta; Magnoliopsida; Ranunculales; Menispermaceae.
GGAUAUCUCGGCUCUCGCAUCGAUGAAGAACGUAGCGAAAUGCGAUACUUGGUGUGAAUUGCAGAAUCCCGUGAACCAUCGAGUCUUUGAACGCAAGUUGCGCCCGAGGCCGCCAGGUCGAGGGCACGUCUGCCUGGGCGUCACGUGACGCGCCACACCCAAC